AAACCCAUUUGUAACCCUAACUUACAUACUGAUGAGUUAGGCUACAGCAAUUUCCCUUCCUCUUCAACGUGCGACGACCAAAACCCUACAGCCGCACCACCACGCGCAGCCCCUUUCCCUUAGAUUUGCUCGACGACGGAAGCAUUCUCCUUCGAUUCCACCUUCGAGACUGGUUAGUUUUUUCGAUUCCACUUCGACGCGGUUUGUAUGUAUAUGUAUUGUUGUUUGUAAGUGAUUCCACUUCCACUUCGGAAUUGAAGCCAGACGCUGAGGGAUUGACGAACAGUUCUAGCUAUCCACAUCAUCGUUCAGAUGAUACACUCAAACCCAGGAUAAAUGGAUGGAGUUGUUUCCCUCAAUCAUCUCGCGUGCGAAAACGCUUCAAGUCAUCAUUUCUGGUGUUAAUGGAACGCCGAAUGCUUCCAUGCAGCUAGUUACUUGGGUUGAGCAUGCUGAGGCUGAGAAUGAGCUGGUCCAUGGGAUCUUUACUGAUUAUGUUAGCAGUGGAAUGGCAUUUGGAGCUCGACGAUGGCUAGCUGUUUUACAACGCCAAUGCGAGAGGCUUGCAAGUCUUAUGGCCUGAAAUAUAUCUGACAUUGGAGCAAUACCAACACCAGAAGCAAGAACAAAUUUGAUGAAUGUGGCUCAUAGGAUGGUACGGAUGUUUUGCCUUCACAUAACUGGCUCAUGUCGGCAAUCAUGGACAACCCUUUCUGAUUCAGUUGAGGAGACAGUUCGAAUAACGACUAGAAAAGUCACUGAACCAGGCCAGCCCAAUGGUUUGAUCCUGACAGCAGUAUCAACAACCUGGUUUCUUUAUCCUCACUAUCAAGUUCUUGACUAAUGAUUAUUGUAAUCUGCAGCCUGUUGGUGUGGUUGGUGCAGUAAUGCUUUUGCGUUAUAUCCAGAAGUUAGGGCUGUGAUAUCGGCACUUAGGUAUCAUGAACAAUAUCCACGGCUUCCAGCUGAUUUUGAGGUAUUUCAUUUAGAUGUGGCACGACAAAAGAGAGAGGCUACAGAUGAUUGUAAUUUGACGGGUUUAUUUCCGAAGUUUUUUAGAGAGUUAGGUAUUUCGUUAGAUUAGCUUAUGUAGUUUUUUUUAUACAAUUUAACGUAGUUUGUUAUGCAUUCAACGAUUGUAAUUUGACGGGUUUAUUUCCGAAUUGGAUGUCUACAGGUUUAUUUCGGAAUUGAAUGUGUAUUGUUUUGGUUUGA
This is a long non-coding RNA of Helianthus annuus (common sunflower), 1215 nucleotides long. RefSeq lists it as uncharacterized. NCBI's taxonomy places the organism in Eukaryota, Viridiplantae, Streptophyta, Magnoliopsida, Asterales, Asteraceae. The transcript has 5 exons. The record is from RefSeq and is a predicted model, not a curated record.